UACGAAGGGUGCAAGCGUUACUCGGAAUUACUGGGCGUAAAGGGCUCGUAGGCGGCCAACUAAGUCAGACGUGAAAUCCCCAGGCUCAACCUGGGAACUGCGUCUGAUACUGGCAGGCUUGAAUCCGGGAGAGGGAUGCGGAAUUCCAGGUGUAGCGGUGAAAUGCGUAGAUAUCUGGAGGAACACCGGUGGCGAAGGCGGCAUCCUGGACCGGUAUUGACGCUGAGGCGCGAAAGCCAGGGGAGCAAACGGG
RNAcentral lists this ribosomal RNA (253 nucleotides) under uncultured bacterium. RNAcentral's name for it is "partial 16S ribosomal RNA". It matches the Rfam family "Bacterial small subunit ribosomal RNA", at positions 524 to 776 of the family's 1533-position model. The record is from RNAcentral.